RNAcentral lists this ribosomal RNA (439 nucleotides) under Diptera environmental sample. RNAcentral's name for it is "eukaryotic LSU rRNA". The stretch from base 1 to 81 matches the Rfam family "5.8S ribosomal RNA", at positions 75 to 154 of the family's 154-position model. The record is from RNAcentral. Lineage: Eukaryota; Metazoa; Arthropoda; Insecta; Diptera.
CAUACUCUACGUGAAUCAUCGAAUCUUUGAACGCAAGUGGCGCUCUCACGCUCGCGUGGGAGCAUGCCUCUUUCAGCAUCGGUUAUUCUAAACUCAUCUGCUUGCAGGUGGAGAAUGAGUUGUCGCUCUGUGUCUUUUCAUUAAGAGAGAGGGCGUCACUUCAAGUAAGGCGAGCUCAGUCGCAAGUUUCACUGAGAAAGUGACGUUGGUAGGUAAUGAAAGGGCCGUCAAACGCCUUCUCGUUUACUUCACGCCGCGUCUGCUUUCGAUUGCAGGUGAAGCUGCCCUAGUAGUAGUAACAUAUUAUUAGGACGACUAGCGUAAGAACAGUCUUUGUUUGUUAGUUAUAUACCAAACAGAGUAGCUGUUCAGCUUUAACGACUUGAUCUGAAAUGAGGUAAGAGGACCCGCCGAAUUUAAGCAUAUCAAUAAGCGGAGG